RNAcentral lists this ribosomal RNA (474 nucleotides) under Neisseria flava. Its description in RNAcentral is "bacterial SSU rRNA". It matches the Rfam family "Bacterial small subunit ribosomal RNA", at positions 30 to 491 of the family's 1533-position model. Lineage: Bacteria; Pseudomonadati; Pseudomonadota; Betaproteobacteria; Neisseriales; Neisseriaceae. The record is from RNAcentral.
AUUGAACGCUGGCGGCAUGCUUUACACAUGCAAGUCGGACGGCAGCACAGAGAAGCUUGCUUCUUGGGUGGCGAGUGGCGAACGGGUGAGUAACAUAUCGGAACGUACCGAGCAGUGGGGGAUAACUAAUCGAAAGAUUAGCUAAUACCGCAUAUUUUCUGAGGAAGAAAGCAGGGGACCAUUUGGCCUUGCGCUGUUUGAGCGGCCGAUAUCUGAUUAGCUAGUUGGUGGGGUAAAGGCCUACCAAGGCGACGAUCAGUAGCGGGUCUGAGAGGAUGAUCCGCCACACUGGGACUGAGACACGGCCCAGACUCCUACGGGAGGCAGCAGUGGGGAAUUUUGGACAAUGGGCGCAAGCCUGAUCCAGCCAUGCCGCGUGUCUGAAGAAGGCCUUCGGGUUGUAAAGGACUUUUGUCAGGGAAGAAAAGGGCGGGGUUAAUACCCCUGUCUGAUGACGGUACCUGAAGAAUAAGC